UACGUAGGGUGCGAGCGUUAAUCGGAAUUACUGGGCGUAAAGCGGGCGCAGACGGUUACUUAAGCAGGAUGUGAAAUCCCCGGGCUCAACCUGGGAACUGCGUUCUGAACUGGGUGACUAGAGUGUGUCAGAGGGAGGUAGAAUUCCACGUGUAGCAGUGAAAUGCGUAGAGAUGUGGAGGAAUACCGAUGGCGAAGGCAGCCUCCUGGGAUAACACUGACGUUCAUGCCCGAAAGCGUGGGUAGCAAACAGGAUUAGAUACCCGGGUAGUCC
Molecule: ribosomal RNA, 273 nt
Filed under: uncultured bacterium
Lineage: Bacteria
Description: partial 16S ribosomal RNA
Rfam family: Bacterial small subunit ribosomal RNA
Source: RNAcentral